This 97-nucleotide microRNA precursor is filed under the name Pteropus alecto (black flying fox). Its description in RNAcentral is "mir-544 microRNA precursor family". It matches the Rfam family "mir-544 microRNA precursor family". The record is from Rfam by way of RNAcentral. Lineage: Eukaryota; Metazoa; Chordata; Mammalia; Chiroptera; Pteropodidae. RNAcentral also lists the same sequence under 1 other name.
AUCAUUUGGAGGUGUUGUUAAAAAGCAGAUUCUGUGUCUGUAGGUCUGGGUGGGGCCUGUGAUUCUGCAUUUUUAGCAAGCUUCCAAGUGAUGCCUA